RNAcentral lists this unclassified non-coding RNA (218 nucleotides) under Hevea brasiliensis (rubber tree). Lineage: Eukaryota; Viridiplantae; Streptophyta; Magnoliopsida; Malpighiales; Euphorbiaceae. The record is from RNAcentral.
AGAUCGGCUUCGUCGCUGUCGACCAGCCGCUCGGCUGCGUGCAGCGCGUGCAGUUCAUCGGCAUCGAGCAGCGGAUGACCGGUGCGGAAACGAAUCUGCGACAGCCGCGAUCCUUCGCGCAACAAGACCGGGAAUGUCUUGGGGCUGAUCUCCGCAUAGAGCGGGCCAUGAUAGCCGGGCGCGAUCAUGUCGAAGCGCCGCGUGCCGUCGGCGAUCAC